Molecule: non-coding RNA, 72 nt
Organism: Phrynosoma platyrhinos (Desert horned lizard)
Lineage: Eukaryota; Metazoa; Chordata; Lepidosauria; Squamata; Phrynosomatidae
Source: the annotation of a GenBank genome assembly
GCCAGUGUAGUGUAGUGGUUGGAGUGUUGGACAACAACUCUGGAGACCAGGGUUCGAAUCCCCACCCGGUCA